UUAGAGUUUGAUCCUGGCUCAGAUUGAACGCUGGCGGCAGGCUUAACACAUGCAAGUCGAGCGGAGAGAGGUAGCUUGCUACUGAUCUUAGCGGCGGACGGGUGAGUAAUGCUUAGGAAUCUGCCUAUUAGUGGGGGACAACAUUUCGAAAGGAAUGCUAAUACCGCAUACGUCCUACAGGAGAAAGCAGGGGAUCUUCGGACCUUGCGCUAAUAGAUGAGCCUAAGUCGGAUUAGCUAGUUGGUGGGGUAAAGGCCUACCAAGGCGACGAUCUGUAGCGGGUCUGAGAGGAUGAUCCGCCACACUGGGACUGAGACACGGCCCAGACUCCUACGGGAGGCAGCAGUGGGGAAUAUUGGACAAUGGGCGCAAGCCUGAUCCAGCCAUGCCGCGUGUGUGAAGAAGGCCUUAUGGUUGUAAAGCACUUUAAGCGAGGAGGAGGCUACUUUAGUUAAUACCUAGAGAUAGUGGACGUUACUCGCAGAAUAAGCACCGGCUAACUCUGUGCCAGCAGCCGCGGUAAUACAGAGGGUGCAAGCGUUAAUCGGAUUUACUGGGCGUAAAGCGCGCGUAGGCGGCUAAUUAAGUCAAAUGUGAAAUCCCCGAGCUUAACUUGGGAAUUGCAUUCGAUACUGGUUAGCUAGAGUGUGGGAGAGGAUGGUAGAAUUCCAGGUGUAGCGGUGAAAUGCGUAGAGAUCUGGAGGAAUACCGAUGGCGAAGGCAGCCAUCUGGCCUAACACUGACGCUGAGGUGCGAAAGCAUGGGGAGCAAACAGGAUUAGAUACCCUGGUAGUCCAUGCCGUAAACGAUGUCUACUAGCCGUUGGGGCCUUUGAGGCUUUAGUGGCGCAGCUAACGCGAUAAGUAGACCGCCUGGGGAGUACGGUCGCAAGACUAAAACUCAAAUGAAUUGACGGGGGCCCGCACAAGCGGUGGAGCAUGUGGUUUAAUUCGAUGCAACGCGAAGAACCUUACCUGGCCUUGACAUAGUAAGAACUUUCCAGAGAUGGAUUGGUGCCUUCGGGAACUUACAUACAGGUGCUGCAUGGCUGUCGUCAGCUCGUGUCGUGAGAUGUUGGGUUAAGUCCCGCAACGAGCGCAACCCUUUUCCUUAUUUGCCAGCGAGUAAUGUCGGGAACUUUAAGGAUACUGCCAGUGACAAACUGGAGGAAGGCGGGGACGACGUCAAGUCAUCAUGGCCCUUACGGCCAGGGCUACACACGUGCUACAAUGGUCGGUACAAAGGGUUGCUACCUAGCGAUAGGAUGCUAAUCUCAAAAAGCCAAUCGUAGUCCGGAUUGGAGUCUGCAACUCGACUCCAUGAAGUCGGAAUCGCUAGUAAUCGCGGAUCAGAAUGCCGCGGUGAAUACGUUCCCGGGCCUUGUACACACCGCCCGUCACACCAUGGGAGUUUGUUGCACCAGAAGUAGCUAGCCUAACUGCAAAGAGGGCGGUUACCACGGUGUGGCCGAUGACUGGGGUGAAGUCGUAACAAGGUAACCGUA
This 1504-nucleotide ribosomal RNA is filed under the name Acinetobacter sp. ADAT-W. RNAcentral's name for it is "bacterial SSU rRNA". It matches the Rfam family "Bacterial small subunit ribosomal RNA". Lineage: Bacteria; Pseudomonadati; Pseudomonadota; Gammaproteobacteria; Moraxellales; Moraxellaceae. The record is from RNAcentral.